RNAcentral lists this non-coding RNA (103 nucleotides) under human gut metagenome. Its description in RNAcentral is "SAM riboswitch (S box leader)". It matches the Rfam family "SAM riboswitch aptamer (S box leader)". From Rfam's summary of the family: The SAM riboswitch is found upstream of a number of genes which code for proteins involved in methionine or cysteine biosynthesis in Gram-positive bacteria. The SAM riboswitch acts at the level of transcription termination control. The predicted structure consists of a complex stem-loop region followed by a single stem loop terminator region. The record is from RNAcentral.
CUUAUCAAGAGUGACGGAGGGAACAGGCCCGAUGAUGUCCGACAACCUGUGGCGGCGACGCCAUAAGGUGCCAAAUCCUGCGGUGACAAACCGAAAGAUGAGG